RNAcentral lists this ribosomal RNA (936 nucleotides) under Halomonas caseinilytica. RNAcentral describes it as "bacterial SSU rRNA". It matches the Rfam family "Bacterial small subunit ribosomal RNA", at positions 56 to 987 of the family's 1533-position model. Lineage: Bacteria; Pseudomonadati; Pseudomonadota; Gammaproteobacteria; Oceanospirillales; Halomonadaceae. The record is from RNAcentral.
UGCAGUCGAGCGGAACGAUCCUAGCUUGCUAGGAGGCGUCGAGCGGCGGACGGGUGAGUAAUGCAUAGGAAUCUGCCCGAUAGUGGGGGAUAACCUGAGGAAACUCAGGCUAAUACCGCAUACGUCCUACGGGAGAAAGCAGGGGCUCUUCGGACCUUGCGCUAUCGGAUGAGCUUAUGUCGGAUUAGCUGGUUGGUGAGGUAACGGCUCACCAAGGCGACGAUCCGUAGCUGGUCUGAGAGGAUGAUCAGCCACAUCGGGACUGAGACACGGCCCGAACUCCUACGGGAGGCAGCAGUGGGGAAUAUUGGACAAUGGGGGCAACCCUGAUCCAGCCAUGCCGCGUGUGUGAAGAAGGCCCUCGGGUUGUAAAGCACUUUCAGUGAGGAAGAAGGCUUGUCGGUUAAUACCCGGCAAGGGAGACAUCACUCACAGAAGAAGCACCGGCUAACUCCGUGCCAGCAGCCGCGGUAAUACGGAGGGUGCGAGCGUUAAUCGGAAUUACUGGGCGUAAAGCGUGCGUAGGCGGCUUGAUAAGCCGGUUGUGAAAGCCCCGGGCUCAACCUGGGAACGGCAUCCGGAACUGUCAGGCUAGAGUGCAGGAGAGGAAGGUAGAAUUCCCGGUGUAGCGGUGAAAUGCGUAGAGAUCGGGAGGAAUACCAGUGGCGAAGGCGGCCUUCUGGACUGACACUGACGCUGAGGUACGAAAGCGUGGGUAGCAAACAGGAUUAGAUACCCUGGUAGUCCACGCCGUAAACGAUGUCGACUAGCCCGUUGGGGUCCUCGAGACCUUUGUGGCGCAGUUAACGCACUAAGUCGACCGCCCUGGGGAGUACGGCCGCAAGGUUAAAACUCAAUGAAUUGACGGGGCCGCACAAGCGGUGGAGCAUGGUGGUUUAAUUCGAUGCAACGCGAGACCUUACCUACCCUUGACAU